GCCUUUGUAGUUUGAUAGCACACUCGGCUCGUAUUCGAGAGGUCCAGGUUCAAGUCUCGGCGAGGGCA
This 68-nucleotide transfer RNA is filed under the name Stegodyphus mimosarum. It matches the Rfam family "tRNA". From Rfam's summary of the family: Transfer RNA (tRNA) molecules are approximately 80 nucleotides in length. Their secondary structure includes four short double-helical elements and three loops (D, anti-codon, and T loops). Lineage: Eukaryota; Metazoa; Arthropoda; Arachnida; Araneae; Eresidae. The record is from Rfam by way of RNAcentral.